This 1346-nucleotide ribosomal RNA is filed under the name metagenome. Its description in RNAcentral is "bacterial LSU rRNA". It matches the Rfam family "Bacterial large subunit ribosomal RNA", at positions 1567 to 2925 of the family's 2925-position model. The record is from RNAcentral.
UACGUCCACACCUUUUAGGUGUGGGCCAGUUGGCUGUCAUACUUCCAAGAAAAGCUCGAACUACUGUAAAGCAUCAAAUACCUGUACCGUAAACCGACACAGGUGGGUUGGUAGAGUAUACCAAGGGGCGCGAGAUAACUCUCUCUAAGGAACUCGGCAAAAUGACCCCGUAACUUCGGGAGAAGGGGUGCCAAGUAACUAAAAUUGCUUGGUCGCAGUGACCAGGCCCUGGCGACUGUUUAUCAAAAACACAGGUCUCCGCAAAGUCGUAAGACAACAUAUGGGGGCUGACGCCUGCCCAGUGCCGGAAGGUUAAAGAAGUUGGUUAUUCAUCCGUGGAGAAGCUGACGACUGAAGCCCCGGUGAACGGCGGCCGUAACUAUAACGGUCCUAAGGUAGCGAAAUUCCUUGUCGGGUAAGUUCCGACCCGCACGAAAGGCGUAACGAUCAGGGCACUGUCUCGGAGAGAGACUCGGUGAAAUAGACAUGUCUGUGAAGAUGCGGACUACCUGCACCUGGACAGAAAGACCCUAUGAAGCUUGACUGUAGCCUGGAAUUGGGUUCGGGCUCUUCUUGCGCAGCCUAGGUGGGAGGCGUUGAAAGCUUUCUUUUGGGAAAGCUGGAGCCAUCAGUGAGAGACCACUCUGGAGGAGCUAGAAUUCUAAUGGCGUUCCUUGAAGCAGGACGCUUGACAGUUUCAGGUGGGCAGUUUGACUGGGGCGGUCACCUCCUAAAAGGUAACGGAGGUGUGCAAAGGUUCCCUCAGGCUGGACGGAAAUCAGCCGUAGAGUGUAAAGGCAGAAGGGAGCUUGACUGCAAGACCUACAAGUCGAGCAGGGGCGAAAGCCGGCCUUAGUGAUCCGACGGUUCCAUGUGGAAGGGCCGUCGCUCAACGGAUAAAAGUUACUCUAGGAUAACAGGCUGAUCUUCCCCAAGAGUUCACAUCGACGGGAAGGUUUGGCACCUCGAUGUCGGCUCAUCGCAACCUGGGGCGGUAGUACGUCCCAAGGGUUGGGCUGUUCGCCCAUGAAAGCGGUACGUGAGCUGGGUUCAGAACGUCGUGAGACAGUUCGGUCCAUAUCCGGUGUAGGCGUUAGAGCAUUGAGAGGAGCCUUCCAUAGUACGAGAGGACCUGGAAGGACGCACCUCUGGUAUACCAGUUAUCAUGCCAAUGGUACACGCUGGGUAGCCAUGUGCGGAGUGGAUAACCGCUGAAAGCAUCUAAGUGGGAAGCCCACCUCAAGAUGAGUGCUCUCCAUCAGGUCACAGGAAGACAACCUGUUUGAUAGGCAGAAGGUGUAAGGCUAGUAAUAGUUUCAGCUGAUCUGUACUAAUAGACCGAUUGA